GACGAACGCUGGCGGCGUGCUUAACACAUGCAAGUCGAACGAAGAGCGAUGGAAGCUUGCUUCUAUCAAUCUUAGUGGCGAACGGGUGAGUAACGCGUAAUCAACCUGCCCUUCAGAGGGGGACAACAGUUGGAAACGACUGCUAAUACCGCAUACGAUCUAAUCUCGGCAUCGAGGAUAGAUGAAAGGUGGCCUCUACAUGUAAGCUAUCACUGAAGGAGGGGAUUGCGUCUGAUUAGCUAGUUGGAGGGGUAACGGCCCACCAAGGCGAUGAUCAGUAGCCGGUCUGAGAGGAUGAACGGCCACAUUGGGACUGAGACACGGCCCAGACUCCUACGGGAGGCAGCAGUGGGGAAUCUUCCGCAAUGGACGAAAGUCUGACGAAGCAACGCCGCGUGAGUGAUGACGGCCUUCGGGUUGUAAAGCUCUGUUAAUCGGGACGAAAGGCCUUCUUGCGAAUAGUGAGAAGGAUUGACGGUACCGGAAUAGAAAGCCACGGCUAACUACGUG
This 510-nucleotide ribosomal RNA is filed under the name uncultured bacterium. RNAcentral's name for it is "partial 16S ribosomal RNA". It matches the Rfam family "Bacterial small subunit ribosomal RNA", at positions 28 to 507 of the family's 1533-position model. The record is from RNAcentral.